CGCAAUUCUCACAUCGUAGUAUACGCAGGCCUGAUCUCGGGAGCUCAGCGGAGUCGGGCCUGGUUAGCAGUUAAAUGGGAGACCGCUGGGAAUAACGGGUGACAAUAGAGC
This 111-nucleotide ribosomal RNA is filed under the name Periophthalmus magnuspinnatus. The record is from RNAcentral. Lineage: Eukaryota; Metazoa; Chordata; Actinopteri; Gobiiformes; Gobiidae.